CAGUCGCCGCGGGAAUACGAAGGGGGCUAGCGUUGCUCGGAAUGACUGGGCGUAAAGGGCGCGUAGGCGGCUUGCACAGUCAGAUGUGAAAUUCCUGGGCUCAACCUGGGGACUGCAUUUGAUACGUGUGGGCUUGAGUGGAGAAGAGGGUUGUGGAAUUUCCAGUGUAGAGGUGAAAUUCGUAGAUAUUGGAAAGAACACCGGUGGCGAAGGCGGCAACCUGGUCUUUAACUGACGCUGAGGCGCGAAAGCGUGGGGAGCAAACAGGAUUAGAUACCCCAGUAGUCCCUGUCUCUUAUAC
This 301-nucleotide ribosomal RNA is filed under the name uncultured bacterium. Its description in RNAcentral is "partial 16S ribosomal RNA". It matches the Rfam family "Bacterial small subunit ribosomal RNA", at positions 509 to 807 of the family's 1533-position model. The record is from RNAcentral.